GUUUUGCUGUCCUGUCUAUCUGAAAAAGAGCUUGUUUGACUGAUUUACUUAGCAACUGCUGUAAAGAGGAAAGAUCACCAGUAAAUUCCAUGGACCUGGUAUUCACAACGCCCUAUCAACUUUAUGCGUUACUGACCUCCACAGGCAUUUUAGGGGAAGGCACAGCAGGGAAAGAGUUGAAGGCAUGCUACUACCAUCUGUUGCCACAAGAAAGAGUCUGGCUUGAUUCCCAUGUCUGCAGCUCGGUUCUUGAAUGGGCAGGAUCAGGAAACACCAUGGAGAUUUCUACUUUAACAACUGGUAUUUUUUAAAGUCAGUCCACUCUUGCUGCCAGACCCAAGCGAUUGACCCAAGGUAUUUCCUGAGACGAAUGGUGAUGCAUUUAAUGAUUGUUUUUGUGGAUUUUCCUCUGGCCUCGGAUCAGAGAUCUCUGCGAUUCACUUCAGGUCAGAGGCAAUAUAACUUCCAUACAGUAUUCAUCAGUUCUGGUAAGCCAAAUCUUGCAAUAUGAUUGCAGAGUCUGCUGCAUAGGUUUUCUAUACUGAGUCCUAUUAAUAUGCAUGACUGUACUAUAUUUUAAGAUCAUAGCAUUGUAUUGAAAUUACAGUAUUGCUGCCUGCCUUAUGUCACAGGAUUUAAGCAUCAGGGUACUCAAGCUCUGUCUUUCUUUCCGUGUGUUUAGAACAUGUCCAGAUCCCUUUUAGCUCUCCUCUUAGAUAAAUCCCAACUGACCUACAAAAAAGAGCACUGCUGCAAAGAGCAGAGUUGUGCAGUAGCUGCUGUGAGGGGACUAUCUGCACCUUUCAUGAUAAUCCUCCAAGUUGGAAACAGCAGAAACUAUUGAGCACCAGCCCAACCUCAUCUAAAUAAAUA
Molecule: long non-coding RNA, 873 nt
Filed under: Phasianus colchicus (ring-necked pheasant)
Lineage: Eukaryota; Metazoa; Chordata; Aves; Galliformes; Phasianidae
Description: lncRNA (ENSPCLG00000012499.1)
Source: RNAcentral